UGCAACUCGAAUGGCAAAGUGUCUCGAUG
Molecule: non-coding RNA, 29 nt
Filed under: Mus musculus (house mouse)
Lineage: Eukaryota; Metazoa; Chordata; Mammalia; Rodentia; Muridae
Source: RNAcentral